CGUAGGGUGCGAGCGUUAAUCGGAAUUACUGGGCGUAAAGCGUGCGCAGGCGGUUUGUUAAGAUAGGCGUGAAAUCCCCGGGCUCAACCUGGGAACUGCGCUUAUGACUGGCAAGCUAGAGUACGGCAGAGGGGGGUGGAAUUCCACGUGUAGCAGUGAAAUGCGUAGAGAUGUGGAGGAACACCAAUGGCGAAGGCAGCCCCCUGGGUCGAUACUGACGCUCAUGCACGAAAGCGUGGGGAGCAAACAGGAUUAGAUACCCUGGUAGUCCACGCCCUAAACGAUGUCAACUAGUUGUUGGUAGGGUAAAACCUAUUAGUAACGUAGCUAACGCGUGAAGUUGACCGCCUGGGGAGUACGGCCGCAAGGUUA
This 372-nucleotide ribosomal RNA is filed under the name uncultured organism. RNAcentral's name for it is "bacterial SSU rRNA". It matches the Rfam family "Bacterial small subunit ribosomal RNA", at positions 526 to 896 of the family's 1533-position model. The record is from RNAcentral.